This is a small nucleolar RNA of Cephalotus follicularis, 77 nucleotides long. The record is from Rfam. NCBI's taxonomy places the organism in Eukaryota, Viridiplantae, Streptophyta, Magnoliopsida, Oxalidales, Cephalotaceae.
AUGAGGUAUGAUGAUGUUUAUCCAUAUAUACUGCAUUUGGAUGAUGAACAACUACAUGCACUACCAUCUGACCUCUG